UUAGUCUUUCUGGUUAGAUUUGUAGUAGAUUAGAAAUUUGUGAAUUAAAUCGAUUUUUUUGGGUUUUUGAUUUCUAAUUGAAUUUCUGUUAAGCUUAUCCAUGGCUUCUCAGGGUUUUUAUUUCAAGGGGUAAGUAAAUUCGAAAAAGAUCGGAUUUCUGUCAUUAUAAUUGAUUUUCAGAGAGACCCAAUUUAUAAUUUUUGCAUUUUUUGGAUACUGGAUAGUAAGGUUGAGGCAGUAAGUUUUGUUGAAAUAGGUUAAUGGUUUGGCCGUUUGAAGGUUGAGGCAGCAAGUUUCAACAUUAGAAAAUCUAGGGGUUCUACAUUCUAAUGGGUGACGAAUCAAGUCAAUCGAUUGCGGUAACAGGUAAGAUGUCAAGUCCAUCUGAUAAUGAGGAUAAGGGACAGACAAGUCUGAUGUUACUACCCCCCAAUACCAUGUAAUAAUGCUAUACUAGCUGCUUCCUGCUAUAGUUAUGAAAAGUGCAGAAGGGCUUUAGUGGAGUUCAUAUAAUGUUGGACUCAAACAACUACAGGUCGGUAUGAAUGCACAAUUAUGAAUGGCAUGAUAUGAAGAAGAGCCUAAAGUCCACAAUCGGCACAAAAAGAUAAGUGCUUCACAUCUUCUAUUUUUCCUAUUUGAAAAAUUAAGAAUGUUGUUUAACACUCUGAUCUUGUACACUGUAUCAGGCGAGAGUUGGUAUGUGCUGAACUGGACUAGUUGCUCCUCUAUAAAAAUGAUUAAACCAGUAUUUUGACCCCCUUACACUGCUGUUGUACAGAAUAUAGGCUAGUAUUCUACGAUUCUGCCUAUGAAUCUCUACAAGACGAUAACCAGAGAAAUGCGAAUGGCGUUGCUGGAUGAUUCACUGCACCUAUGCAUAUGUUUCAGCUGCUCAAGAUCCUAACAUGUAUUCUAACCAAGCUAUGGGGGUAUUGGAUAUGGUAACUAUCAAUAGCACCAACAUCAGUGAUUUGAUCAGAUAGCCAGAGUCAAUGUGGUGGGCAGAUGAAAGCUAUAUUUUUCAAGUAAAGAAGAGGUCAGGUCUCAGUAGUCUAAGACUCUAAUGGUUUAGAUGUAUCCUAGUUAAAUCUCCUAUUUUCCCAUUUCCUGCUGCACGAUGGUUUAGACUGCUAACUUAGGGUAGUAAAUAUGAAGAGAUUGUUAUUUUCUGUUUUUUUUCUUUUUUUGUUCUUUCUGGUUUUAUGUCUGUGUAUGACUUUAUCUUCUUGUGAUGAUGUGUAUGAGCUUCGGGUGAUGACAUCAUGUGGCAAAGUCAUUACUAAGAAAUUCAUUCUUACACCGUUGUAUGCUUCUGUUGAAUGCUCUCACUAGGCUUCUACAUCUGAUUAUUCUGUAUCUUAUUUGUUUAUAUAUGUUUGAUGGAGCCUUGAAAUC
Molecule: long non-coding RNA, 1398 nt
Organism: Papaver somniferum (opium poppy)
Lineage: Eukaryota; Viridiplantae; Streptophyta; Magnoliopsida; Ranunculales; Papaveraceae
Exons: 4
Source: RefSeq, a predicted model, not a curated record